This 69-nucleotide transfer RNA is filed under the name Sphaerodactylus townsendi. RNAcentral describes it as "tRNA-Ala". It matches the Rfam family "tRNA". From Rfam's summary of the family: Transfer RNA (tRNA) molecules are approximately 80 nucleotides in length. Their secondary structure includes four short double-helical elements and three loops (D, anti-codon, and T loops). Further hydrogen bonds mediate the characteristic L-shaped molecular structure. tRNAs have two regions of fundamental functional importance: the anti-codon, which is responsible for specific mRNA codon recognition, and the 3' end, to which the tRNAs corresponding amino acid is attached (by aminoacyl-tRNA synthetases). tRNAs cope with the degeneracy of the genetic code in two manners: having more than one tRNA (with a specific anti-codon) for a particular amino acid; and 'wobble' base-pairing, i.e. permitting non-standard base-pairing at the 3rd anti-codon position. Lineage: Eukaryota; Metazoa; Chordata; Lepidosauria; Squamata; Sphaerodactylidae. The record is from RNAcentral.
GCUGUAGCUCAAUGAUAGAGCAUCUGCUUAGCAUGUAGAAGAUCCCAGCUUCAAUUCCCAGCAUCUCUA